UAGGAGCUAUCAUGCCAGGAUCGACAGGCCGCUUGCCUUGUAACUGCAUAAGGGAAGGCAGACCUCAGCUCCACCAGUUCUUUCCUGUUUGCAUACUGUGAAUCUGAUGAGUCCACCAACUGCUGGUUCUCCACCAUUCUGGUUCUAAGAAAGACCUUGAAAUGGCAAGAGUGACUGGAUCCGGCCAGUUGUGCUCCUGUGAGGUUAGCAUACAGCUCUUAUGUAGCUAAUGAUUGCUGGCACUUGGUUUUGAGGAUGAAAUGAGCAAAUGGCUAAAAAGUGAAAAGAACAGAUGGGGAGCCUGAUGCAACUUAUAACUUGCAUCGCAAGCACCUUUUGAACAGAGAAUCAGCAGCCUUGUUUCUCAAAAUAGUUUUACAGAGGGGAAGCAGAGAGAGUAGCAGACGGAGACGGGAUCAUGAGGGGAUUUGUGUGCACUCAGAUCUGGCAAUACUAAUCCAGUCAAGUAGAGCCCGAAACCUGAGUUUGAAGUUUAACAAACUGUCCUGUCACUCAGGCCAUUGCAAUCGGCAGGGGUCCCAGCAGGAUGGAUCCAUCUUCAAACGGUGUAACAGUAAAUCCCCUGUCAGCUCAGCACUUCAAUUACAGAAAACAACAGUAAUAUACUGUUCCCUUCACACCUACAGUACAUAAAGUACUGAGGAAUAUACGUGACAGAUGACCCAGCCCAAGUGUGGCUAUUGACCCUCACCCCAAGUCCAGCUAUACACCAGGAAGCACUCAUUGAUCUCUUCAAAAGACAUCCAUCUACACACUUUUGGAACAUAUUGAAUCCUGAUAUGUUCAUUCACUGUGUUUUGUUUACUUCAGCUCUGUAAAAGGGACAUUUUUGAUUUUGUGGGCUUCAGUGCACCUAAUUAAAUUGCAUGUUCUGGCUCACUGGAAAAAUGCUGAUUUGGAGAGUUGCAAAUAAGAGACUGACACGCACUUUUUUCUAGCUGCACGCCAUGCUCAAUCCUGUGAAAUAAAAAUGUUUAGGCACUUAAUUUCAUCAGUUAAAAUAACAAAUUAAAUUCAAUUUGCUCUCUUUACCCCAUUAAGUAAUUAAGUGAAUACCAUAUUCUGAUGAAUGAUUACAUCUUUUAUAAGCCUUUGGAAUAAUUGAUGGUAGAGAACACUGACAUCUGUCACCUUAAACCCCUCCCACAAAAAAUAACAAGAAAACAAAAGCCUGUAUACAAUGUGCACAUGACAGAUGAUAGACUGACAUUUUGACAACAGGAGAAGCAUGCUAUAAGAUCAUAGAU
Long non-coding RNA from Anguilla anguilla (European eel), 1268 nucleotides. RefSeq lists it as uncharacterized. The record is from RefSeq and is a predicted model, not a curated record. The transcript has 6 exons. NCBI's taxonomy places the organism in Eukaryota, Metazoa, Chordata, Actinopteri, Anguilliformes, Anguillidae.